RNAcentral lists this ribosomal RNA (1534 nucleotides) under uncultured bacterium. Its description in RNAcentral is "partial 16S ribosomal RNA". It matches the Rfam family "Bacterial small subunit ribosomal RNA". The record is from RNAcentral.
AGAGUUUGAUCCUGGCUCAGGAUGAACGCUGGCGGCGUGCCUAACACAUGCAAGUCGAACGAGAAGCCUGUAAUGAAUACUUCGGUAGGAUUAAUGGGUGGAAAGUGGCGAACGGGUGAGUAACACGUGGGUGACCUGCCCUGGAGAGGGGGUUAACCAUUCGAAAGGAUGGCUAAUACCGCAUAAUCCUAACUACAUGGGAAUGUAGAUGGGGAAAGCUCCGGCGCUCUGGGAGGGGCCUGCGUCCGAUUAGCUAGUUGGGGGGGUAAAAGCCCACCAAGGCGACAAUCGGUAGCUGGUCUGAGAGGACGAUCAGCCACACGGGAACUGAGACACGGUCCCGACUCCUACGGGGGGCAGCAGUGAGGAAUUUUGCGCAAUGGGGGAAACCCUGACGCAGCAACGCCGCGUGGGUGAAGAAGGCUUUCGGGUCGUAAAGCCCUGUCAGGUGGGAAGAACCGUUUCGAUACUAAUAAUGUCGAAGCCUGACGGUACCACCAGAGGARGCACCGSCCAAUCUCCGUUGCMAGCAGCGCGCGGUAAUACGGAGGGUUGCAAGCGUUGUUCSGAAWUAUUGGGCGUAAAGAAGCGCGUAGGCGGUCUCUUAAGUCAGGUGUGAAAGCCCGGGGGCUCAACCCCGGAAGUGCACUUGAAACUAAGGGACUUGAGUAUGGGAGGAGGGAAGUGGAAWUYCCUGGUGUAGCGGUGAAAUGCGUAGAUAUCAGGAGGAACAUCGGUGGCGAAGGCGACUUCCUGGAACCAAUAACUGACGCUGAGGCGCGAAGGCGUGGGGAGCAAACAGGAUUAGAUACCCUGGUAGUCCACGCCGUAAACGAUGAGCACUAGGUGUAGCGGGUAUUGACCCCUGCUGUGCCGUAGCUAACGCAUUAAGUGCUCCGCCUGGGGAUUACGGUCGCAAGACUAAAMCUCAAGGAAAUUGACGGGGGCCCGCACAAGCGKUGGAGACAUGUGGUUUAAUUCGACCGCAACCGCGAAGAACCUUACCGGGGUUUGAACUGSMCCUGAGCGAUCUAGAGAUGGAGAGGUUCCCUUAGGGGACAGGUGCAGAGGUGCUGCAUGGCUGUCGUCAGCUCGUGUCGUGAGAUGUUGGGUUAAGUCCCGCAACGAGCGCAACCCUUGUCUGUAGUUGCCAUCAGGUGAAGCUGGGCACUCUACGGAGACUGUCGGCGAGAAGCCGGAGGAAGGUGGGGAUGACGUCAAGUCCUCAUGGCCUUUAUGUCCCGGGCUACACACGUGCUACAAUGGGCGGUACAGAGGGCAGCGAACCUGUGAAGGCAAGCGAAUCCCAGAAAACCGCUCUCAGUUCGGAUUGCAGUCUGCAACUCGACUGCAUGAAGUUGGAAUCGCUAGUAACCGCGGAUCAGAACGCCGCGGUGAAUACGUUCCCGGGCCUUGUACACACCGCCCGUCACAUCACGAAAGUGGGCUGUACUAGAAGCCGCCGGCCUAACCCUCGGGGAGGAGGCGUCGACGGUAUGGCUCAUGAUUGGGGUGAAGUCGUAACAAGGUAACC